RNAcentral lists this ribosomal RNA (373 nucleotides) under uncultured organism. RNAcentral's name for it is "partial 16S ribosomal RNA". It matches the Rfam family "Bacterial small subunit ribosomal RNA", at positions 527 to 896 of the family's 1533-position model. The record is from RNAcentral.
GUAGGUGGCAAGCGUUGUCCGGAAUUAUUGGGCGUAAAGCGCGCGCAGGUGGUUCUUUAAGUCUGAUGUGAAAGCCCCCGGCUCAACCGGGGAGGGUCAUUGGAAACUGGGGGACUUGAGUGCAGGAGAGGAGAGUGGAAUUCCACGUGUAGCGGUGAAAUGCGUAGAUAUGUGGAGGAACACCAGUGGCGAAGGCGACUGUCUGGCCUGUAACUGACACUGAGGCGCGAAAGCGUGGGGAGCAAACAGGGAUUAGAUACCCUGGUAGUCCACGCCGUAAACGAUGAGUGCUAAGUGUUGGGGGGGUUUCCGCCCCCUCAGUGCUGCAGCUAACGCAUUAAGCACUCCGCCUGGGAGUACGGUCGCAAGACUG